AGAGUUUGAUCAUGGCUCAGAGCGAACGCUGGCGGCAGGCCUAACACAUGCAAGUCGAGCGGGCAUCGCAAGGUGUCAGCGGCAGACGGGAGAGUAACACGUGGGAACGUGCCCUUCAGUUCGGAACAACCCAGGGAAACUUGAGCUAAUACCGAAUACGUCCGUAAGGAGAAAGAUUUAUCGCCGAAGGAUUGGCCCGC
Molecule: ribosomal RNA, 200 nt
Filed under: uncultured bacterium
Lineage: Bacteria
Description: partial 16S ribosomal RNA
Rfam family: Bacterial small subunit ribosomal RNA
Source: RNAcentral